Long non-coding RNA from Melospiza melodia melodia, 296 nucleotides. RefSeq lists it as uncharacterized. The transcript is spliced from 3 exons. The record is from RefSeq and is a predicted model, not a curated record. Lineage: Eukaryota; Metazoa; Chordata; Aves; Passeriformes; Passerellidae.
GGGACGCGGUGACACCGAGGGCGGGGACGAUGCUGGGGACAGAGGUGACACCGCUGGCGUCAGAGUGACACGGGUGACACAGCCCAGGACAGAGGUGACCCACGGUGACCCCACGGUGACCCCACGGUGACCCAGAGGGGACACAGAGGUGACACGAGGUGUCCCAGGUGUGACACUGCCGUGUCCCCGCUGUCCCCAAGGUGUCACUGUGCUGUCCCCGCUGUCCCCAAGGUGACACUGCGCUGUCCCCAAGGUGUCACUGCGCUGUCCCCAAGGUGUCACUGUGCUGUCCCCGC